UACGUAGGUCCCGAGCGUUGUCCGGAUUUAUUGGGCGUAAAGCGAGCGCAGGUGGUUUAUUAAGUCUGGUGUAAAAGGCAGUGGCUCAACCAUUGUAUGCAUUGGAAACUGGUAGACUUGAGUGCAGGAGAGGAGAGUGGAAUUCCAUGUGUAGCGGUGAAAUGCGUAGAUAUAUGGAGGAACACCGGUGGCGAAAGCAGCUCUCUGGCCUGUAACUGACACUGAGGCUCGAAAGCGUGGGGAGCAAACAGG
RNAcentral lists this ribosomal RNA (252 nucleotides) under uncultured bacterium. Its description in RNAcentral is "partial 16S ribosomal RNA". It matches the Rfam family "Bacterial small subunit ribosomal RNA", at positions 524 to 776 of the family's 1533-position model. The record is from RNAcentral.